This 497-nucleotide ribosomal RNA is filed under the name uncultured bacterium. RNAcentral's name for it is "partial 16S ribosomal RNA". It matches the Rfam family "Bacterial small subunit ribosomal RNA", at positions 28 to 507 of the family's 1533-position model. The record is from RNAcentral.
GAUGAACGCUGGCGGCGUGCCUAAUACAUGCAAGUCGAACGAAAGGGCGAUAAUCUUGCGGCUCGCAUGUUAGCGGCAGGGGUGUGUAUAACGCGUGUAAAAUCCACCUGUCAUUCGGGGAUAUCUAGGAGAAUCCGGAUAUAAUACCGUAGGAUCUUUUGAACCGCAGUGUGCAAAAGUAAGUUACGGUCGUUCGGGCACGUCUCGAUGGAUCCGCGCUGCAUUAGCUGGUUGGUAAGGUAACGGCUUACCAAGGCAACGAUGCAUAGCCGACGGGAGAGGGUGAUCGGCGACAUGGGAACUGAGACACGGUCAAUACGCCUAAGGGAGGCAGCAGUAGGGAAUGUUACGCAAUGGGCGAAAGCAUGACGGAGCAACGCCGCGUGAGAGAUGAAGACGCUCGGAUCGUAAAACCCUGUUAUGAGGGAAAAACCUAUGUGUAAGGAACCGUGGACAGAGUGACGGUAAUUAAUAAGAAAGCACCGGCUAACUACGUG